UACGUAGGUGGCAAGCGUUGUCCGGAUUUACUGGGCGUAAAGAGCGCGCAGGCGGUCGAAUAAGUCGAAUGUGAAAGCCCCCGGCUUAACUGGGGAGGGUCAUUCGAUACUGGUCGACUUGAAGGCAGGAGAGGUAGCUGGAAUUCUUGGUGUAGCAGUGAAAUGCGUAGAGAUCAAGAGGAACACUCGUGGCGAAAGCGAGCUACUGGACAAUUCCUGACGCUGAGGCUCGAAGGCUAGGGUAGCGAAAGGG
RNAcentral lists this ribosomal RNA (253 nucleotides) under uncultured bacterium. RNAcentral's name for it is "partial 16S ribosomal RNA". It matches the Rfam family "Bacterial small subunit ribosomal RNA", at positions 524 to 776 of the family's 1533-position model. The record is from RNAcentral.